Molecule: long non-coding RNA, 778 nt
Organism: Tarenaya hassleriana
Lineage: Eukaryota; Viridiplantae; Streptophyta; Magnoliopsida; Brassicales; Cleomaceae
Exons: 3
Source: RefSeq, a predicted model, not a curated record
GUAAACCCUUCUCCCUACAACACAAACACACACCCACUCCAGUUGCCGGCUCCGUGUUGCAGGUUCAGACAAUCAGAGAGGAACAACAAUGAAGGUGAGAUCAUCUGUGAAGAAGAUGUGUGAGUUCUGUAGGACGGUCAAACGUAGAGGACGUGUAUAUGUGUUAUGCUCUUCCAACCCUAAGCACAAGCAGCGGCAAGGAUUCUCCUCCAUUACUCAUGAAGGAAUCACGCCUCCUGCGUCGAUGGAGUCAAAUGCUAAGAGUGGUCUCUCAGAACUGCCGAAUCAGAACGUAUCUGCUGGUCUCGCCUCACUUCUAUCGAGGAGGCCUCAAUCAGGGGGGAUAUUCGGAUGGAGGGCGGGUCUAGCAUCCAUUCUGUUCAAACAGGGGAAUUAGCGACGGGCUACAACGCAACCGUCCGCUAUCAUUUCCGUUUGAAUUCACGAGUUUAUGUCAUUGUUGAAUCACUGUUUCUCCAGGUGAAAUCCGCCUCUCUUCUGCCGUAUUCAGUCGUAUGUUGUUCCUGUGGCUGCAUUAUUGGAUCUGUUGCUCGGAAUUCCUCUGUUUUGCAUCACCCGGUUGCUGAUAUUAGAGGGUACAGUCCUGGAUUAGGGGAUCUGUAAGAAACGUUGUCGACUUUUAAGGCUGUAAAACACCAAAUGAUCACACAGAUCAUAUGCUUUUAGUACCAAGACAUUGAAGAUCUUAAAGGGUCUUUGAGAAAACUGUUGAUGAUUUUUAUAGCUCGACGUGGAAGAUUCCUGGUGUUUGCAUGUU